RNAcentral lists this ribosomal RNA (1433 nucleotides) under uncultured organism. Its description in RNAcentral is "16S ribosomal RNA". It matches the Rfam family "Bacterial small subunit ribosomal RNA". The record is from RNAcentral.
CAGGCUUAACACAUGCAAGUCGAGGGGCAGCAUGGUCUUAGCUUGCUAAGACUGAUGGCGACCGGCGCACGGGUGAGUAACACGUAUCCAACCUGCCGUCUACUCUUGGACAGCCUUCUGAAAGGAAGAUUAAUACAAGAUGGCAUCAUGAGUCCGCAUGUUCACAUGAUUAAAGGUAUUCCGGUAGACGAUGGGGAUGCGUUCCAUUAGAUAGUAGGCGGGGUAACGGCCCACCUAGUCUUCGAUGGAUAGGGGUUCUGAGAGGAAGGUCCCCCACAUUGGAACUGAGACACGGUCCAGACUCCUACGGGAGGCAGCAGUGAGGAAUAUUGGUCAAUGGGCGAGAGCCUGAACCAGCCAAGUAGCGUGAAGGAUGACUGCCCUAUGGGUUGUAAACUUCUUUUAUAAAGGAAUAAAGUCGGGUAUGCAUACCCGUUUGCAUGUACUUUAUGAAUAAGGAUCGGCUAACUCCGUGCCAGCAGCCGCGGUAAUACGGAGGAUCCGAGCGUUAUCCGGAUUUAUUGGGUUUAAAGGGAGCGUAGAUGGAUGUUCAAGUCAGUUGUGAAAGUUUGCGGCUCAACCGUAAAAUUGCAGUUGAUACUGGAUAUCUUGAGUGCAGUUGAGGCAGGCGGAAUUCGUGGUGUAGCGGUGAAAUGCUUAGAUAUCACGAAGAACUCCGAUUGCGAAGGCAGCCUGCUAAGCUGCAACUGACAUUGAGGCUCGAAAGUGUGGGUAUCAAACAGGAUUAGAUACCCUGGUAGUCCACACGGUAAACGAUGAAUACUCGCUGUUUGCGAUAUACUGCAAGCGGCCAAGCGAAAGCGUUAAGUAUUCCACCUGGGGAGUACGCCGGCAACGGUGAAACUCAAAGGAAUUGACGGGGGCCCGCACAAGCGGAGGAACAUGUGGUUUAAUUCGAUGAUACGCGAGGAACCUUACCCGGGCUUAAAUUGCAGAUGAAUUACGGUGAAAGCCGUAAGCCGCAAGGCAUCUGUGAAGGUGCUGCAUGGUUGUCGUCAGCUCGUGCCGUGAGGUGUCGGCUUAAGUGCCAUAACGAGCGCAACCCUUGUUGUCAGUUACUAACAGGUUCCGCUGAGGACUCUGACAAGACUGCCAUCGUAAGAUGUGAGGAAGGUGGGGAUGACGUCAAAUCAGCACGGCCCUUACGUCCGGGGCUACACACGUGUUACAAUGGGGGGUACAGAGGGCCGCUACCACGCGAGUGGAUGCCAAUCCCCAAAACCUCUCUCAGUUCGGACUGGAGUCUGCAACCCGACUCCACGAAGCUGGAUUCGCUAGUAAUCGCGCAUCAGCCACGGCGCGGUGAAUACGUUCCCGGGCCUUGUACACACCGCCCGUCAAGCCAUGGGAGCCGGGGGUACCUGAAGUGCGUAACCGCGAGGAGCGCCCUAGGGUAAAACUGGUGACUGGGG